AGUUAAUUAGCUUAACCCCCCAAAGCAUAUGUCUUGAAAACAUAAACUAGAAGUUUAAUCUUCUAUUAACUU
RNAcentral lists this transfer RNA (72 nucleotides) under Pseudothericles compressifrons. RNAcentral's name for it is "tRNA-Ser". It matches the Rfam family "tRNA". From Rfam's summary of the family: Transfer RNA (tRNA) molecules are approximately 80 nucleotides in length. Their secondary structure includes four short double-helical elements and three loops (D, anti-codon, and T loops). Further hydrogen bonds mediate the characteristic L-shaped molecular structure. tRNAs have two regions of fundamental functional importance: the anti-codon, which is responsible for specific mRNA codon recognition, and the 3' end, to which the tRNAs corresponding amino acid is attached (by aminoacyl-tRNA synthetases). tRNAs cope with the degeneracy of the genetic code in two manners: having more than one tRNA (with a specific anti-codon) for a particular amino acid; and 'wobble' base-pairing, i.e. permitting non-standard base-pairing at the 3rd anti-codon position. The record is from RNAcentral. Lineage: Eukaryota; Metazoa; Arthropoda; Insecta; Orthoptera; Thericleidae.